UCAGGCUUUCCGGCAGCUGUCGCAUCGUUUCCAUGGCAAAGGCUCAGGGAAGAUGAAGACCGAGAAGAGGAUGAAGAAGCUGGAGGAGGAAGCUCUGUUGAAGAAGAUGAGCAGCAGUGAUACUCCACUGGGGACGGUGGCUCUGCUGCAGGAGAAGCAGAAGUCUCAGAAGACGCCCUACAUCGUCCUGAGUGGUAGUGGCAAGAGCAUGAACGCAAACACCAUCACCAAGUAGCGGAUGCCUGUACAUGUUCCCGAUUACACACACACACA
Molecule: long non-coding RNA, 273 nt
Organism: Sardina pilchardus (European sardine)
Lineage: Eukaryota; Metazoa; Chordata; Actinopteri; Clupeiformes; Clupeidae
Exons: 3
Source: RefSeq, a predicted model, not a curated record